AGUCGAGCGAGAAAGUGUAGCAAUACAUGAGUACAGCGGCGCACGGGUGAGUAACACGUGGGUAAUCUGCCCUAGAGUGGGGAAUAACACCGGGAAACCGGUGCUAAUACCGCAUACGAUCACGAUGUCUGCGGACGUUGUGAUGAAAGGAGCAAUUCGCUCUUGGAGGAGCCCGCGGCUGAUUAGCUAGUUGGUAAGGUAAUGGCUUACCAAGGCUACGAUCAGUAUCCGGUCUGAGAGGACGGUCGGACACACUGGAACUGAGACACGGUCCAGACUCCUACGGGAGGCAGCAGUGGGGAAUUUUUCGCAAUGGGGGCAACCCUGACGAAGCAACGCCGCGUGGGUGAUGAAGUAUCUCGGUACGUAAAACCCUUUCGACGGGGAAGAAAACCGCAAGGUUUGACGGUACCCGUAGAAGAAGCCCCGGCUAACUCCGUGCCAGCAGCCGCGGUAAUACGGGGGGGGCAAGCGUUGUUCGGAAUUACUGGGCGUAAAGGGCGCGUAGGCGGUUUGCUAAGUCGAAUGUGAAAACUCUGGGCUUAACCCAGAGCCUGCAUUCAAUACUGGCAGGCUAGAGUUCUGGAGGGGAUAGCGGAAUUCCUGGUGUAGCGGUGAAAUGCGUAGAUAUCAGGAGGAACACCGGUGGCGAAGGCGGCUAUCUGGACUGAGUCUGACGCUGAGGCGCGAAAGCUAGGGGAGCAAACAGGAUUAGAUACCCUGGUAGUCCUAGCCCUAAACGAUGGAUACUUGCUGUGACUGGGAUUGAAUCCAGUCGUGGCGAAGCUAACGCAUUAAGUAUCCC
This 805-nucleotide ribosomal RNA is filed under the name uncultured Bacillota bacterium. RNAcentral's name for it is "bacterial SSU rRNA". It matches the Rfam family "Bacterial small subunit ribosomal RNA", at positions 60 to 870 of the family's 1533-position model. Lineage: Bacteria; Bacillati; Bacillota. The record is from RNAcentral.